Molecule: long non-coding RNA, 1845 nt
Filed under: Capsicum annuum
Lineage: Eukaryota; Viridiplantae; Streptophyta; Magnoliopsida; Solanales; Solanaceae
Description: long non-coding RNA (CANN_LNC016738)
Source: RNAcentral
CGUUUGGAUCAACAACUUCGUUAUCUGAAGACGAGAUCAAUGAGCUAGCUUUUGGGCUGGAGCAGAGUCAGCAGAGGUUUAUUUGGGUCCUGAGGGACGCAGAUAAAGGAGAUAUAUUCUCUGGUGAAGUUAGAGAACGUGAACUACCUGAAGGAUACGAGAAGAGGGUAUCGGAAAGAGGAUUUGUAAUGAGAGAUUGGGCACCGCAGUUGGAAAUUUUGGCACAUCCGUCAACUGGCGGAUUCAUGAGUCAUUGCGGAUGGAACUCUUGCAUGGAAAGUAUUUCAAUGGGAGUUCCAAUAGUAGCGUGGCCAAUGCAUUCAGAUCAACCUAGAAAUGCUUUGUUCAUAGCCGAAGGAUUGAAAAUCGGGAUAUUGAUGAGAGAGUGGGAGCGAAGAAACGAAGUUGUAUCGGCUGAAACUAUCGAAAGAGUUGUGAGAACUUUAAUGGCGUCUCCGGAGGGAGAGGAGAUGAAACGGAAUGCUACAGAGCUCAAGGAAGCAGUGAAGUUAUCAGUUAUGGAGGGUGGUGUGACUCAAAAGGAAAUGGAAUCUUUUGUUGCUCACAUCACUAGAUAGAUAUUUUUAAUGUUGAAUGAUUUGUACUUCCCUAUGUUUUUUCUUCUUCUAAUAAAUGUGAUGUAUGUGGUUGUUUGUGUCCACUUAAAAUUUUUUGUCCUGUAUGAAAGAAUAAGUACUACUCCACUUUUAUUUCAUUGAAGCAAAUUUACCCCAACAUUUCUUCCUCCUUUCCAUUCACACUCCAUCUUCCAAAAAAUGACGACCACGACAACAACAACAACAAAUUAUGUAGACCAACAAUGUCAACAACACGACGUUGUUGUUGUCGUUGUUCCUACUGCACAAGGCCAUCUUCAUGCAUCCCUCGAACUCUCUCGCUGCCUCUCCGCCACCUACAAUAUCCCGUUUACUAUGUCAGCACAACAGCUCACAUCCGUCAAGCUAAGUCGCGUGCUGUGAGAUGGGACCCAUUAGAAAUCCCAAACCUAAAGUUCAUUGAUUUCCCGGUUUCGUUCGACCUUCCUCCUCCUAAUCCUGAUGCAUCCAUAAAAUUCCCUUCACAACUUGUUCCAGCUUUCAACUCUUCUCUCCAACUACGUAAUCCUAUAACGGAUCUCGUUAAGAAACUAGCUUCGAUAUCGCGCAAUGUUGUUCAAGAUGUACCACAAAUACCUAAAACAGAAUGCUACUGUUUGCAUACUGUAUCUUCAUUUCUUAUGUUUAUGAUGCUGCUAAACCGCCUGUGCCACCUGAAGCCGAAGUUGUACUUAAACAACUCCCGCCUCUUGACGGGUGUCAUUCACCUGAAAUGGAAGAAUUUGCCCAGAAACAAGUAAAUGCAAGGGUUCCUGGAGGUGGUAAUAUUUACAGUACUUCUCGAGUUAUCGAUGAAUUAUACCUCGAUCUACUAGAGAAGAUGAAUGCUUCUAAGGAUUUUAAACAUUGGGCUGUUGGUCCAUUCAAUCCGGUAGAAAUUGAGACUACUAUCACUGUCAACCGCCACUAUUCACUCGAGUGGCUCGACAAACAACCACCGAACUCGGUGCUUUUUGUGCCGUUUGGAUCGACGACUUCGUUAUCUGAAGACGAGAUUAAUGAGCUAGCUAUUGGGUUGGAGCAGAGUCAACAGAGAUAAUCUCUGGGUCCUCAGGGACGCAGAUAAAGGAGAUAUUUUCUCUGGAGAAGUUCGAAAAUGUCAAUUGCCUGAAGGAUACGAGAAGAGGGUAUCGGAAAGAGGACUUGUUAUGAGAGAUUGGGCACCACAAUUGGAAAUUUUGGCACAUCCGUCAACUGGCGGAUUCAUGAGUCAUUGCGGGUGGAAUUC